This 301-nucleotide ribosomal RNA is filed under the name uncultured bacterium. RNAcentral describes it as "partial 16S ribosomal RNA". It matches the Rfam family "Bacterial small subunit ribosomal RNA", at positions 509 to 807 of the family's 1533-position model. The record is from RNAcentral.
CAGUAGCCGCGGGAAUACGAAGGGGGCUAGCGUUGCUCGGAAUGACUGGGCGUAAAGGGCGCGUAGGCGGAUGGCACAGUCAGAUGUGAAAUUCCCGGGCUUAACCUGGGGGCUGCAUUUGAUACGUGUUGUCUAGAGUGAGGAAGAGGGUCGUGGAAUUCCCAGUGUAGAGGUGAAAUUCGUAGAUAUUGGGAAGAACACCGGUGGCGAAGGCGGCGACCUGGUCCUUUACUGACGCUGAGGCGCGAAAGCGUGGGGAGCAAACAGGAUUAGAUACCCCCGUAGUCCCUGUCUCUUAUAC